Molecule: ribosomal RNA, 253 nt
Filed under: uncultured bacterium
Lineage: Bacteria
Description: partial 16S ribosomal RNA
Rfam family: Bacterial small subunit ribosomal RNA
Source: RNAcentral
UACGAAGGGGGCUAGCGUUGUUCGGAUUUAUUGGGCGUAAAGCGCGUGUAGGCGGCUUUGCAAGUCGGGUGUGAAAGCCCUCAGCUCAACUGAGGAAGUGCGCCCGAAACUGCAGAGCUUGAGUGCCGGAGAGGGUGGCGGAAUUCCCCAAGUAGAGGUGAAAUUCGUAGAUAUGGGGAGGAACACCGGUGGCGAAGGCGGCCACCUGGACGGUAACUGACGCUGAGACGCGAAAGCGUGGGGAGCAAACAGG